RNAcentral lists this ribosomal RNA (373 nucleotides) under uncultured organism. Its description in RNAcentral is "bacterial SSU rRNA". It matches the Rfam family "Bacterial small subunit ribosomal RNA", at positions 526 to 896 of the family's 1533-position model. The record is from RNAcentral.
CGUAGGGCGCAAGCGUUAUCCGGAAUUAUUGGGCGUAAAGAGCUCGUAGGCGGUUUGUCGCGUCUGCUGUGAAAUCCCGAGGCUCAACCUCGGGCCUGCAGUGGGUACGGGCAGACUAGAGUGCGGUAGGGGAGAUUGGAAUUCCUGGUGUAGCGGUGGAAUGCGCAGAUAUCAGGAGGAACACCGAUGGCGAAGGCAGAUCUCUGGGCCGUAACUGACGCUGAGGAGCGAAAGGGUGGGGAGCAAACAGGCUUAGAUACCCUGGUAGUCCACCCCGUAAACGUUGGGAACUAGUUGUGGGGUCCUUUCCACGGAUUCCGUGACGCAGCUAACGCAUUAAGUUCCCCGCCUGGGGAGUACGGCCGCAAGGCUA